UACAGAGGGGGCAAGCGUUGUUCGGAAUCACUGGGCGUAAAGGGUGCGUAGGCGGGUCUUUAAGUCAGGGGUGAAAUCCUGGAGCUCAACUCCAGAACUGCCUUUGAUACUGAAGAUCUUGAGUUCGGGAGAGGUGAGUGGAACUGCGAGUGUAGAGGUGAAAUUCGUAGAUAUUUGCAAGAACACCAGUGGCGAAGGCGGCUCACUGGCCCGGUACUGACGCUGAGGUGCGAAAGCGUGGGGAGCAAACAGG
Molecule: ribosomal RNA, 253 nt
Filed under: uncultured bacterium
Lineage: Bacteria
Description: partial 16S ribosomal RNA
Rfam family: Bacterial small subunit ribosomal RNA
Source: RNAcentral